CAGCCGUAAACUAUGCGCGUUAGGUGUACUGGUGACCACGAGUCACCGGGGUGCCGAAGGGAAACCGUGAAACGUGCCGCCUGGGAAGUACGGUCGCAAGGCUGAAACUUAAAGGAAUUGGCGGGGGAGUACCACAACGGGUGGAGCCUGCGGUUUAAUUGGACUCAACGCCGGAAAUCUCACCGGAUAGGACAGACAUAUGAUAGUCGGGCUGAAGACUCUACUUGAUGAUCUGAGAGGAGGUGCAUGGCGUCAGUGACU
Molecule: ribosomal RNA, 261 nt
Filed under: uncultured archaeon
Lineage: Archaea
Description: partial 16S ribosomal RNA
Rfam family: Archaeal small subunit ribosomal RNA
Source: RNAcentral